UACAGAGGCCCCGAGCGUUGUUCGGAUUCAUUGGGCGUAAAGGGUGCGUAGGCGGCGGGGAAAGUCUGAUGUGAAAUCCUGGGGCUCAACCCUGGAACUGCAUUGGAUACUUCCUUGCUAGAGUACUGGAGAGGAAACUGGAAUUUACGGUGUAGCAGUGAAAUGCGUAGAGAUCGUAAGGAAGACCAGUGGCGAAGGCGAGUUUCUGGACAGUUACUGACGCUGAGGCACGAAGGCCAGGGGAGCAAACGGG
This 253-nucleotide ribosomal RNA is filed under the name uncultured bacterium. RNAcentral describes it as "partial 16S ribosomal RNA". It matches the Rfam family "Bacterial small subunit ribosomal RNA", at positions 524 to 776 of the family's 1533-position model. The record is from RNAcentral.